UACGUAGGGUGCAAGCGUUGUCCGGAAUUAUUGGGCGUAAAGAGCUCGUAGGCGGUCUGUCGCGUCUGCUGUGAAAACUCGGGGCUUAACCCCGGGCCUGCAGUGGGUACGGGCAGACUAGAGUGAUGUAGGGGAGACUGGAAUUCCUGGUGUAGCGGUGAAAUGCGCAGAUAUCAGGAGGAACACCGAUGGCGAAGGCAGGUCUCUGGGCAUUAACUGACGCUGAGGAGCGAAAGCAUGGGGAGCGAACAGG
Molecule: ribosomal RNA, 253 nt
Filed under: uncultured bacterium
Lineage: Bacteria
Description: partial 16S ribosomal RNA
Rfam family: Bacterial small subunit ribosomal RNA
Source: RNAcentral